Molecule: ribosomal RNA, 552 nt
Filed under: Elassodiscus caudatus (blackbelly snailfish)
Lineage: Eukaryota; Metazoa; Chordata; Actinopteri; Perciformes; Liparidae
Description: partial 16S ribosomal RNA
Rfam family: Bacterial large subunit ribosomal RNA
Source: RNAcentral
GGUCCUGCCUGCCCUGUGACUAUUUGUUUAACGGCCGCGGUAUUUUAACCGUGCGAAGGUAGCGUAAUCACUUGUCUUUUAAAUAAAGACCUGUAUGAACGGCAUAACGAGGGCUUAACUGUCUCCUCUUUCAAGUCAAUGAAACUGAUCUUUCCGUGCAGAAGCGGAGAUUUAAACAUAAGACGAGAAGACCCUGUGGAGCUUUAGACACUAUGACAACUUACGUUAAAUACCCCCAAAAUAAAGGCGUGUGUUAAGUAAACUCUGCCCUAAUGUCUUUGGUUGGGGCGACCACAGGAAAAUAAAUAACCCCUAUGUGGAGCGGGAGAACUUCUCCUACAACUAAGAGCUACAACUCUAAUAAACAAAAAUUAUGACCAGCAAGAUCCGGCAACGCCGAUCAACGGACCAAGUUACCCCAGGGAUAACAGCGCAAUCCUCUUUUAGAGCCCAUAUCGACAAGAGGGUUUACGACCUCGAUGUUGGAUCAGGACAUCCUAAUGGUGUAGCCGCUAUUAAGGGUUCGUUUGUUCAACGAUUAAAGUCCUACGU